Molecule: transfer RNA, 73 nt
Filed under: Thermotogota bacterium
Lineage: Bacteria; Thermotogati; Thermotogota
Description: Thermotogae bacterium (hydrothermal vent metagenome) tRNA-Met
Rfam family: tRNA
About the family: Transfer RNA (tRNA) molecules are approximately 80 nucleotides in length.
Source: RNAcentral
GGGGCCGUAGCUCAAUAGGCAGAGCAGCGGACUCAUAAUCCGUGGGUUGCAGGUUCGAGUCCUGCCGGCCCCA